GACGAACGCUGGCGGCGUGCUUAAUACAUGCAAGUCGAACGGAAAGGCCCCCUUGUGGGGUAUCUGAGUGGCGAACGGGAGAGUAACAUGUGAGUAACCUACCCUUGACUUUGGGAUAACAUCAGGAAACUGGGGCUAAUAUCGGACCGGAGCUUCUGUUGCACGGCGGGGGUCGGUAAGUUUCGGCGGUUGGGGAUGGACUUGUAGCUUAUUAGCUUGUUGGUGAGGUAGUGGCUCACCAAGGCUCUGACGGGUAGCCGGCCUUGGAGGGUGACCGGCCUCAUUGGUACUAAGAUACGGCCCAGACGCCUACGGUAGGCAGCGGUGGGGAAUAUUGCACAAUGGGCGGAAGCCUGAUGCAACGACGCCGCGUGCGGGAUGACGUCCUUCGGGUUGUAAACCACUUUCGCCUUUAACGAAGCGUGAGUGACGGUAAUGGAUAAAGAAGCACCGGCUAACUACGUG
Molecule: ribosomal RNA, 465 nt
Filed under: uncultured bacterium
Lineage: Bacteria
Description: partial 16S ribosomal RNA
Rfam family: Bacterial small subunit ribosomal RNA
Source: RNAcentral